Molecule: ribosomal RNA, 378 nt
Filed under: uncultured bacterium
Lineage: Bacteria
Description: bacterial SSU rRNA
Rfam family: Bacterial small subunit ribosomal RNA
Source: RNAcentral
ACUAAAUAGAUACCCCGGUAGUCCAUGCCGUAAACUAUGGAUACUAGCUGUUGGGGGUAGUCGACCCCUCCCAGUAGCGAAAGCUAAACGCGUUAAGUAUCCCGCCUGUGGAGUACGAUCGCAAGAUUAAAAACAAUAAAGGAAUUGACGGGGACCCGGCACAAGCGGUGGAGCGUGUUCUUUAAUUCGAUGCUAAACGAAGAACCUUACCAGGGCUUGACAUCCCUUGAAUUACUCCGAAAGGAGUGAGUGCUUUAUUGAGCAAGGUGACAGGUGAUGCAUGGCCGUCGUCAGCUCGUGUCGUGAGAUGUUUGGUUAAAGUCCCAUCAACGAGCGCAACCCUUAUACUUAGUUGUAUUUUUCUAGGUAGACUGCCCC